GUAGGUGGCAAGCGUUGUCCGGGAUUAUUGGGCGUAAAGCGCGCGCAGGUGGUUCUUUAAGUCUGAUGUGAAAGCCCCCGGCUCAACCGGGGAGGGUCAUUGGAAACUGGGGAACUUGAGUGCAGGAGAGGAAAGUGGAAUUCCACGUGUAGCGGUGAAAUGCGUAGAUAUGUGGAGGAACACCAGUGGCGAAGGCGACUUUCUGGCCUGUAACUGACACUGAGGCGCGAAAGCGUGGGGAGCAAACAGGGAUUAGAUACCCUGGUAGUCCACGCCGUAAACGAUGAGUGCUAAGUGUUGGGGGGGUUUCCCGCCCCUCAGUGCUGCAGCUAACGCAUUAAGCACUCCGCCUGGGGAGUACGGUCGCAAGACUG
RNAcentral lists this ribosomal RNA (374 nucleotides) under uncultured organism. RNAcentral's name for it is "partial 16S ribosomal RNA". It matches the Rfam family "Bacterial small subunit ribosomal RNA", at positions 527 to 896 of the family's 1533-position model. The record is from RNAcentral.